This 253-nucleotide ribosomal RNA is filed under the name uncultured bacterium. RNAcentral describes it as "partial 16S ribosomal RNA". It matches the Rfam family "Bacterial small subunit ribosomal RNA", at positions 524 to 776 of the family's 1533-position model. The record is from RNAcentral.
UACAGAGGUCUCAAGCGUUGUUCGGAUUCAUUGGGCGUAAAGGGUGCGUAGGUGGCGCCGUAAGUCGGGUGUGAAAUUUCGGAGCUUAACUCCGAAACUGCAUUCGAUACUGCGGUGCUUGAGGACUGGAGAGGAGACUGGAAUUCAUGGUGUAGCAGUGAAAUGUGUAGAGAUCAUGAGGAAGACCAGUGGCGAAGGCGGGUCUCUGGACAGUUCCUGACACUGAGGCACGAAGGCCAGGGGAGCAAACGGG